RNAcentral lists this ribosomal RNA (119 nucleotides) under Bryoria sp. Wang 04-23191. RNAcentral's name for it is "partial 28S ribosomal RNA". The stretch from base 19 to 119 matches the Rfam family "Eukaryotic large subunit ribosomal RNA", at positions 1 to 101 of the family's 3401-position model. The record is from RNAcentral. Lineage: Eukaryota; Fungi; Ascomycota; Lecanoromycetes; Lecanorales; Parmeliaceae.
CCCCUAUAUUUCAAUCAUUGACCUCGGAUCAGGUAGGGAUACCCGCUGAACUUAAGCAUAUCAAUAAGCGGAGGAAAAGAAACCAACAGGGAUUGCCUCAGUAACGGCGAGUGAAGCGC